UUAUAUUUACAUUUCCUUUUCUUUAUUUUCUUUUAUUUUUUUUUUCUUCCCUCAACGCCGAACUCGUGCCAUUUCCCUUUCCUCUUCCGCGCGUGCCGAAGCCCGAAGCCGAGCCCUAACCGCCGGCCCGGCGUUUUCUUCCUCACCGAAGCUUUAAACCCGUCGGCCAUCUCCUUUUCUUCUUUCUCCAGAGCCGAACUCCUCUUCCCACUGCUGCCAGCGACGGCAAAUGCUACUGUACAACGCUGCCGACGCCCUUCUCUCGAUCUCUGCUGCCGGCGACGAGAGCCAACGCCGACCCCCUGUCGCCCUAGCUGUGGAGAUACCGAGCACUAGCUGAUCGCCUCCCUCGUCUGCACGCCCUACUCCCUCUGCCGUCGGCAUCCGAGCCCUAGCGCCGAUUUUUCUUCUCCUCUUCCGAGUUUAGGCUGCCUCCAAGUUGUGCUGUUCGGGGGAUUUAGGAAUUAGGGUUUGCUGUUGGUUGUUCUUGGGUUCGGCAGCCAUUUUCCAGCGGCUACCUUUCUCUGGUAGCAACAUCCCUGCUGUGGGUGAGUGUAGGGGAAUCUUGAAGAGAAGUGUUUACUGUAAGUUUUCUUGGAUUUGGCAGCUACUUCCAUCCAGCAGCAAGGAACCGCUGUGGAGGUUAAG
Zingiber officinale is the source of this 648-nucleotide long non-coding RNA. RefSeq lists it as uncharacterized. The transcript is spliced from 2 exons. Lineage: Eukaryota; Viridiplantae; Streptophyta; Magnoliopsida; Zingiberales; Zingiberaceae. The record is from RefSeq and is a predicted model, not a curated record.